This 650-nucleotide ribosomal RNA is filed under the name Ponticoccus alexandrii. RNAcentral's name for it is "bacterial SSU rRNA". It matches the Rfam family "Bacterial small subunit ribosomal RNA", at positions 102 to 787 of the family's 1533-position model. The record is from RNAcentral. Lineage: Bacteria; Pseudomonadati; Pseudomonadota; Alphaproteobacteria; Rhodobacterales; Roseobacteraceae.
ACGGGUGAGUAACGCGUGGGAAUAUGCCCUUCUCUGCGGAAUAGCCACUGGAAACGGUGAGUAAUACCGCAUACGCCCUUCGGGGGAAAGAUUUAUCGGAGAAGGAUUAGCCCGCGUUAGAUUAGGUAGUUGGUGGGGUAAUGGCCUACCAAGCCUACGAUCUAUAGCUGGUUUUAGAGGAUGAUCAGCCACACUGGGACUGAGACACGGCCCAGACUCCUACGGGAGGCAGCAGUGAGGAAUCUUAGACAAUGGGCGCAAGCCUGAUCUAGCCAUGCCGCGUGUGUGAUGAAGGCCUUAGGGUCGUAAAGCACUUUCGCCAGAGAUGAUAAUGACAGUAUCUGGUAAAGAAACCCCGGCUAACUCCGUGCCAGCAGCCGCGGUAAUACGGAGGGGGUUAGCGUUGUUCGGAAUUACUGGGCGUAAAGCGCACGUAGGCGGAUCAGAAAGUUGGGGGUGAAAUCCCGGGGCUCAACCCCGGAACUGCCUCCAAAACUCCUGGUCUUGAGUUCGAGAGAGGUGAGUGGAAUUCCGAGUGUAGAGGUGAAAUUCGUAGAUAUUCGGAGGAACACCAGUGGCGAAGGCGGCUCACUGGCUCGAUACUGACGCUGAGGUGCGAAAGUGUGGGGAGCAAACAGGAUUAGAUACCC